Molecule: long non-coding RNA, 4562 nt
Organism: Plodia interpunctella (Indianmeal moth)
Lineage: Eukaryota; Metazoa; Arthropoda; Insecta; Lepidoptera; Pyralidae
Exons: 3
Source: RefSeq, a predicted model, not a curated record
UGGAAUAAUUAUUGGACCAUGAUAUAACGAAAACGGUGCGUGUAAUUACGUAGUUACCUCUAAGUAUCUAAGUUUUUAGUUACUAUAUCGUUAUUAAAGAGUAUGGUGCGGAUUGAUGUUGAUUGAUGAUCUGUGAGGCUAGGUCACGGCGACCUGCCGUCCUCCAGACAGCAUGGCGACAGAAGGUCGCGUCGUGGCGCACUGCGGCAUUGCACUUUUAUAAUCGGUCUACUUACAAAUACACUUUUCAAAUCGACUAAAUAAAUACGUCCUAACAUAAUAGAAGAAAGAACAAAUGCCUUUAAUUCAUACUGGCUGCGCGAAGUCUCUCUCCCGUAGGAAUUCCGGGAAAAAGUUAAAAAAGAUAAAAGAAUUCUUAACGUUCAUCUAAAUCCGUCCAGAUUUUGGCUGAUAGAGAAACAAACUUCUCACAAUCCCAAACUUUCGCAUUUUACGAGUUCAGAGUUUACGAGUAUAAUUAUUGUUUUUAUGAAAUUACUAAGAGAGUUAACUGUAUUUUUAACAAAAUACCUACUACAACAUUAUUGAAACGCUAAAAGAAUGACAUAAGUAGAUGUGUCCAUAAUACUCCAUUCUAUAAAUUAAAUAAUUGGUUAUGACAUGACUUUAUGUGGACAGCAUAUCACUAAUCUUUGUUAAGUGAUAUGCUGUGUAUGUAUAUAGUUAUAUCUAUUUUUUCUAUUAUCUAUAUGUUAUUCAUUAAGUUGAUGUAAUCUAGAUUAUCUGUAAUUAUCUGUGUCAAAAUAUCUACCCUCGAUUUAGUAUGAAGUUUGUACCUAUCAUUGCGUGUCGUUCCGCCCUACAAUAUACAAUAUACAAGGCAACUAAGAUACAUUUAUUUAUUUACAUAUAUAGAGGCGUCAGGAAAAUGGCUGGCAGUAAAAUCACAGCCGAAUCUUCAAAAAUGUAAGAUUAUAUAUUUAUACUGCCCCGAACGCAGCCGGAAAUUUAUAUCCGUAGAUGGGAUAGAGAGUUAUAGCUAUAUUUCCCUAGCUGGUAAAAACGGUAAACCGGAAUACUAACCCGCAUUGUCGCAUGCAAUAAUUGUAUUAUUAAAUGCACAAGCAAUGAAUCCGCAAUUGACUCUAGAAAGGAAAAUCCGUACACAGUAAGCUGGAAGAACGAAAAAAAAAUCUUCUAAUAUGACUCCUUGUUAUUUUCUUAACGAAUACGAACAGCGUAUCAGCAAUGCUAUUUAAACCAUUACAAAUAUUCUUGUUCGUAUGUACUUAAACUGUUAACUAUUUGUAAUUUAUUUUUAUUACUUGUCAAUUGGAAAUAAACACAUGCAUGCGUAUGUGUCUAAAGAAAUGCAGUUUAUAAAUACCUAGCUAAUAGACAUUUUUGAAAUAGCGUAUGUAUUUUCACUAUAUACAACUGGCCACUAUUGAAAAGACCAUUUACUAUUGUUCAUCUCGAACUCAUAGUGAAAUACAUCUAUAGUUUGGUAUUAACACUACAACAGACGGUAUGUUGCCAAAGAUACUUUUUUGUAUAUUAUUAAGCAAGUUUCCUGGUAGUUUUACCAUUGAGGAUGUGCUUCCCGAAAACUCAAUGGAAAAUAAAACGGAGGAAGUAAAAAAUGUUACAGGUAAAAAAAUAUAGACUAAUAAUAUAGAUUAUUAUCCAUAUUCUCUCUAUAUUAUUCGAAUUUCUCUCAUAAUGUAUUAAUAUAUUAAAGUUAAAAAUAAUAAAUAUAUAUUAAAGUUAAAAAUUACCACUCUAUAUCCUAAUGUGGAUGUCGUAUAUGGAUCACUGGUCUGACAACUAAGAACAACUAAAGUGAAGGAGAAAAAGUAGAAAAACGACACCAAAGCUCCUACGUUCUAUGGCGACGGAAAUAAUUAAGAAAACGUCCAGAAAAGAGAGAAAGCUUGUUGUCUAUCGGCAACAACACCAGACCGAUUGUAAAAUAUACAGCAAUUUUGUGUUUGUUUCAAAUAAAAGUUAUUUUUUACUCGGAUCCCAGGUGUCUGAGAAUGUGAAUUAUAACAUUGAGAUUGAGAUAGAUAUAAAAGUACAAAAACACGGUAACUAUUAAUUGAUUUGAAACGCCUAUUGAUUUCAGAACCUUGCCCCAAUAAUAUGUCAUUGUUUAGUGCUAACGAUUUAAAGAUUUAUUGAUGAAAUAGCAGACAAGCUUCUAAUAUACGAAAAGUUGAAUGCCAGUUACCAUGUAAAUGCUACUACGACUGGCGAUAAAAUAAAACAAAAAAUAGACGAAGUCACUAGCUGGAUCGUUGACCGGCCGAAACAUUUAGACCAUUUACUGAAAGAAAUUGCAGCAAAUCGGGAACACAUCCAUGACCGAAUCAAAAAAGUAUUUGACAAACUAUCGCAUAUUGAAGGAAAAUAUAACGAAAGUAGUGAGUAAUAUGAAAAAUUAAUAAAUGAGUUAGCUGAGCAGAAUCGAAUUUGUCAAUUACAUUAUUCCCACCUUGAAGAUGAUUAUUAUGUGGAUUAUGAUUCUGGGGAUGGUGUGAAACUUUCAAAUACAAUGGAGAAAAAUGGAACUAAUUCCAAGUACUGUAGUAGUUAUGAAAGUCUUCGAAAUUUGGUAAAUUCAAAACUCCAAUCGUUUCUGAAUGAAACAUGCAAUUAUCUCAAAGAAAAAUUACAGUUAGACGAACAUGCAUAUAUCGAUAAAGUAAAUAAAUUUAAACAAAAAACAAAAGAUUUCGCAUCGAAAGAAUUAAGUGAAGUAAUGAAUUAUGUUUUAAAUGUUAAUGAUCAAUAUAUUCACUUGAAAGAAACGAUGUCAAUUUUAGAAGAAGAGAUACCCGUAAAUCAAAUUCACGUACUGGUGACAAAUAUAAAAUUUCAUUUAAUACAUUUAGAGAGCCUAAUAGAAAAAUAUGCAGAUCAUUGCCAAUAAUGUAGAUACAUAAGUUCACUGGGACGACAAAUGGUACGUAGAGAUGCACCCCGGAAACAAAACGACGACUCAAAAAUAAAUAAAGAUAAUGAUGAUAAAGACAUUUUGGAAGUAUUACUCGAGAAUAAGAUGAACGACAUAAAAAGUAAAAUAAACGAUGAAUUCUUAAAAAUAUUCGAUGACGUUAAUGAAAUAUUGGAUGGUAAGCAAACGACAGAUUCUAUUACAAGUUUACGGGAAGUACUGCCCGAACUUAAAAUAUUACACAAAAAGAGAUUUUACUUUUAAAUCAAAUUAAAAACAAAGAGUUACCUAAAAUUAUCAGCAACUUCAGUAAUCUCUCACAAGAUGUGAAUUUAUUGGCGAAUAAAAUUGAUGGAUCUAUACAGAACUUAAGUUGAGUAUGUAUAUAUUGUUUUCUAAAGUAGAUAUAUUUUAGAACCUUUAAUUUUUGGAAUUGGAAAUUUUUAUUUUCUUGUCGAAACUUUGAAUAAUACAAUAAAAUAUACAAAUGAACUAAGUAUACCUAACGUGUUUUGUUUGUUGAACGUCCGAACGAAGCGAGCGAGGUCUACCAGCGUGGUGACACUCCCGAAUUCUUAUCUCCGUAAAAAUUGUGUAUGGUACUACUUAUGGUAAAAAGUUUCUCGCGUCUGUGAAGUUUCCUACCUUGGCAGUUGCCAAGCCUACGUUUUAGAAACAAAUGUAGGUUUAGAUUAGAAUAAAACGUAUAAGAAGUCUAGAACUUCUUGGUCUUCUAGGUCUUGUGUUGGUAUCCCAACACAAGACCCUGCCAAGAAGAACCCUGCCAAGUUCUAGCAGAUUUUCUCGACACGCUUACUCCAAAACCAUGUAGUUAAAUAUUAUAAAAAAGUCUAAUUCUCAAACAAGCUCUUUCAAUGAACACGAUAGUUAGCGUUUCUAACUUCCAAAAGUAGCUCAUAAAUUUAAGUUACUUGUCGCUCUUUGAGUCACACUUAAAAAAAAAGAAAAGCACUUUUCAACUCAAUUGGUUUAGUGAUUACUUUCGGAGCGUAAUAGCUUUGAAGGUCAUAUAGAGGCAUAUGCAGGAAGGAUUUCUUUAGGGAUGUGUUUUUUCUUUUGAGGUACGGAAUCCCACAAAAUCCCACAAAUAUAGAAUUUCAUUUAUAUAUAAGUAUUUUUUCCGUAUAAAGUUAUUAUUUCUUUGUUUGAUAAUAUUCGUAACGUCACGCCUAACGGCAGUGACGGUUGCAUUGUGUCGGGGAGGGUGUUUGCACCGUCUGGCUCGGCAAGGGCACAGGGGCUUGCACAAGGGCGCCCUUGCGCGCCCGCUGGCCUGUCUCGCCCGCCAAGGACGAUGUUGUCAGAUGAGAUAACCUGCUGCAAGCCCACAACCUAACACGGAUUCAAAUUGUAUACUUACUUUUUUGACGGAAUGACGUUGUGUAAGUCAGCCAUGGAUAAACACCAAUAAAAUAAGAUUUAUUAAAUAGUGAAAAUGAAGAACACAUAACAAAUAAGUGGAAUGAAUCAAUAAUUUAUCAGCUCAAAGAAGAAAUUCAGGAUUCCGUACGUGUUGUGCUUUGAAAUUAAAUAUGAGACAAAGAAAACAAUUGACAAUUUGUUUUUAUUGCUGUGACUGGGGAGUGAUGAACACAAGGUGAUGUGUUCGUGACUUACCCAG